UGACGCUAUUAUUAGUUUUUGUGUAAAGCUUUAAAUGCAUUAAAUAAAUAGACAAAGUCAUGUUUUUGUCUCUUUAGAGUCUCAGAGCCAUAAUUUAAAGAGAGAUUUUGAUGCACAGAUUUAUGAACAAGCUCUACGCUGUCAUUGGCUUAGAGCCAUGUCAAUCAAAUCAUAACUGCCCCAAACUACAUUUUUUUAAAAGGGGUUUUAAAACUUCCUAGGUGAUUUAUGUUUUGUUUUGUUUUUUUAAACUCACCUCCAGUGUAUUUCAAAUGUCUAUUUUGUGUAGUUAAUUAAAUAAAUUGCAAUAAAUAAAUAAUUUAUUAAUGACUUUUAGAAAAAUGUGAUGGAAAGGAAGAUGGAAACUUUGGGGUGGAAGGGGCACCGUAAGUUGUUGGAACAGCUUGAUCAGCCACACCAGGCUGACAGAGGGGGCAACCCUGCAUGUCAGGGGUCCUAAAUUGGCAGGGGCCAACCGUGGUGAAGGGGAUGGACCUUCACUGGAUUACCAAGAGUCGGCUGGCUGAAGAUCACUAGCAGUCCUCAGCAGCCCCGGCCCCCGUCCCGAUGAUGUAAUUAUUUCCCAGCGGCACCUGGGAGCAACGGCCGCCAUUCGGAGGCAUCGCUCACAGCCAACAGACCAGUGACGCUCUCAUGGUGAUGCAGGUCCAAAAGUUUCCAGAAGAGCAGGCGAAGAAGGAAGUCAGAGGGCUGGAUCAGCUGUCCUGUGAUCUCCCGUGCGAGCCAAGCUGUCUGAUUGGCUGGAGGGCUGGAGGGCCAUCUUGCCUCCCUGGCAGGCAAGUGGCUCAAGCAGUUUGGUUGAGGAGGUGUGUGUGUGUGAGAGAGAGAGACGAGAGGAGGGGUAAGAAUUUGGAAAAGCAGAGGGUGAAAAUGUGUGGCUGUUGGGGUUUUAUGACAGAGGACUGCGAAGAUAAGGGAUGGAUGGCUGUUACAUAUGUGUGUAUGCAUUGUGGCAUAUGUGUCUUUGUACUGUAUGAGCAUAUAUGGGCAAGAAAAAUCAUGGAGGUUGUUAAAAAUCUCAAAGUUUCUGAAACAAGGCCAAAAUAAGGCCUAAAACAUUACUCGCUCUGCUCGUCUCUUUAUACUGUAGCUGUGCAAGUGUUUGUUUACAUAAAUAUGGUUUUAAUUAUGAUAAAACUAAGAAGUCAGAUAUUUAGCAAGGCUUUAUCUUGGUUGCCACAGCUGAUGGGGGGAUAAAUCUGGGCUCUGUUCAGGCAUCUCUAAACAACAACCAUUUAUUUAUAGACCCGUCUCUAUGCAAAGAGCCCAUUCUGAUGUUGCUACAACAUCAAAAGUAUAUUUGACAACCUGCUUCAGCUGCCUCUUUUUGUACUUUUUCAUCCAUCCAAGGAAAUGAUGCCUUGUACAAUCAAUUUAUUAGCGAACAAUCCACUUAGUCUUAUUUUGAAAGUUCAGUUAUGCGUACCGGUUAGCACUGGCCCUUCCUGUUUGUGUUUCUUUUCCAUCAGGCUGACCAAGGUUUUGUUGAGCCUCACUAUUGGUCAGAAGGACAUUCUUCUCCUCUGUCAGCAGUAAUGUGCCUUCUGCUCUGGUAACCGAUGCCAGCUAAAGGGCCAGUAAAACCAGUACCUGCAGUUGGUGUUCCCCCAACUCUGUGGAGAGGCAGCUGAACGACGUUGAAGAUCUUAUAUAUUUGACAAAAAAUAUUUGGCAAAUUAGAUUAUUAUUAUAUGAUGAUGAAUUAUAGUAUUAAGUAACUUCAUCAGUGCACAGAUAUCCAUUCAUUUUUAAAGUCCUGUUUUGCAACCUUGAAGGCAGAAAUAACAAGCAACGGGUAACAGGAAGCUGCACGCUCAUCCGCUAUGCAGCUGACUUUAUUCCUUUAUUUUUCUUAGAAUGACCAAAGUAGACUUCAUGUGUUAUUCUGUAAUGAGUGCAUAAACUUGUCUGGAAAAUGUUUAUAGAGGUCAAAGCCAAGACUCAUUUCCCAUAGACCUCUAUACACCUCUAUAAGGCACAUCAGCAUGGGGUUCAUCUUUUGUAGCUCUACGGUCACCUUUAUACUGCCUGUGGAUGGAUGAUAUGGAGACCCUUAUUGGCAUAGAUGUCAAACUAAAAUGCUUCCUUCACUGAAACUAAAAAUGUAAUUUUAUUUUCAGUGUAGCUCUUUUUUCCUGUAUCUUUUAGUAGACUAAACUUAGAUGUAGCCCUGUAUAAAGUGCAUGUACUCCUUCGCAUAUUUAUAUACAUUUGUUGGGGAAAAUAAUCCAGUUUUAAAUUUACCAGCAACACAUUAACAAGUGUUUGUUUGCAGGGGGUGGUGUGUUUACGUGGACCGUAUGCAUGUGCAGCAGACACAUUUCCAAACCUCAGAUGGUGAAGCAGAGCCUGUGGAUGGGUGGGUCAGAGAGUAGCAGCAGGCCAGUGUUGGCUCUGCUCUGGGCUGUAGCAGGGACACAGUGCAGGCUGAAAUGUUAAACCAAGGUCCUUUGUGUUAUUGCUGACAUUAUGUUUCAUUCCCUAACUCCCCCCCGGCGUGCACUUUUGAUGAUCGCACAGCACAUGCAGACACAGACAUGAGUGGGCGUAGUGGACUAUAGGACAGAUAAUGACCAGCACUUAGCUGCUAAUGCCUAAAGAGCGGAGCUUUUGACCGUCCCACUUCAGCUGCCCAAUAAUUACAUGAUCACAGUGUUCCCUCUGGUUAUUACAAAGUGGAGGUGAAAUGUAGCUUUACUUUUUAAGAAAUACUUUAUUGUGGAAAUGUAGCUCUCAUAGCUGUAAAUUAGAUUAGAUUAAAAAACUAAAAGUUCAGUUUUUACUGUAGGAAACAAGAUUCCUUAGAGGAAAACAUUCAUCACCCUAAACGUAACUGUUUGAGCACUAUUUGUUAGAGUUGUGAGAGAAAUUCAUUUCUGCAACUCCAGAUUCUUGUUUAAGGAUCUUUACUGUCCAGUUUCAGCUUUAAAACCUGUUAACUGAUCCACUUAUUUGUGAUUUCUAUUGAAUAUUGGACGCACAACAAAGAUAAGUUUGUGCAAAGAGAAGUUAUUUGUCUAUGUGGACGGGAAAAACUCAUUAGUAUGUAGACUUUUAAUCCAAAGAAACACACUCCUGCAGUCAAGUGGCUCAUUUUUUACUU
Long non-coding RNA from Haplochromis burtoni (Burton's mouthbrooder), 3124 nucleotides. RefSeq lists it as uncharacterized. The record is from RefSeq and is a predicted model, not a curated record. NCBI's taxonomy places the organism in Eukaryota, Metazoa, Chordata, Actinopteri, Cichliformes, Cichlidae. The transcript is spliced from 4 exons.